GAUGAACGCUGGCGGCGUGCCUAAUACAUGCAAGUCGAGCGAACGGACGAGAAGCUUGCUUCUCUGAUGUUAGCGGCGGACGGGUGAGUAACACGUGGAUAACCUACCUAUAAGACUGGGAUAACUUCGGGAAACCGGAGCUAAUACCGGAUAAUAUUUUGUACCGCAUGGUUCAAAAGUGAAAGAAGGUCUUGCUGUCACUUAUAGAUGGAUCCGCGCUGCAUUAGCUAGUUGGUAAGGUAACGGCUUACCAAGACAACGAUGCAUAGCCGACCUGAGAGGGUUAUCGGCCACACUGGAACGGAGACACGGUCCAGACUGCUACGGUAGUCACCAGUAGGGAAUCUUCCGCAAUGAGCGAAAGCCUGACGGAGCAACGCCGCGUGAGUGAUGAUGGUCUUCGGAUCGUAAAACUCUGUUAUUAGGGAAGAACAUAUGUGUAAGUAACUGUGCACAUCUUGACGGUACCUAAUCAGAAAGCCACGGGUAACUACGUG
RNAcentral lists this ribosomal RNA (497 nucleotides) under uncultured bacterium. RNAcentral describes it as "partial 16S ribosomal RNA". It matches the Rfam family "Bacterial small subunit ribosomal RNA", at positions 28 to 507 of the family's 1533-position model. The record is from RNAcentral.